GAGCAUUAUUUUGGUAGUUUCCAUGGCAACAGAAUUUUCUCACCUGACAGGAACUCUAUAAAAUAAGUCAGACAUAUUCUAAUGUGAUGCUGGGAUUGAAUUUACCUAGAACUCUAUUUCAAGACUGACUCUAAAGUCUUUUGGACGAUCUGGAAGAAAUUUGUAAGUGCUCUUUUGGUAGUGAUUAUCUUAAGCUCACUGUGCCUAUUUUUGUUUUUAUAAUGUUUACUUUAUUCUUUAACUUUCUGAUUAAUUAUGUAAUUAAUUAGGUAAAUUAUAAAAACUUUGCAGUAACUACAGAGACAAGUGAGGUAUGGCAGAAGGAAUGUUUAUCAGUGUUUCUCUUGUUGGGCUUCCCAUUUUGUUCCUUGCUCUUCACUCUUUUACUGUUAAACUUGGUCUCAUUUUUUAAAAAGUAGCAUGAAUUGGGCUGGGGAUUUAGCUCAGUAGUUCCACUGCCUGCCUUGCAAGCCCAAGGACCUGAGUUCGAUUCCCGGUACCAAAAAAAAAAAAAAAGUAGCAUGAAUGUGUCAGAAAUACUGGUUUUGAAAUAAUUGAAAAAAAUGACUAAGGAAAACACUUGUUACCAUUAAGAUGGUCUCUUAUAAGCUGUACUUUUAAGUAUUCCUUUUAAAACCCCAAAUGAUAUUGAGGCUUUUGGAUAAUUCUGAAAUAUUGAGAGAAUAAUGAGAAAAAUAUAUUAGUAAUGAUGUUCUCCCAAAGUUUGAUUUUUCUUAUAAACAUUUUUGACUCAGUAAGUCAGCUAUUUGAAAACUACUUUUUUUUUUUAAGAGUAGGAAAAAUUUAUUGAAAGAAAGCUUCUGUCUAAGAGAGACAAGAGGGGGACCAGAAAGUGGGUUUCCUGCUCACCCCACGUUUCAAAAGUGUUUUAUACAGCAAAGCCAUGUGGUGAGGUGAAUACAAAGUGGGACAAAACUAUAAGACCCAGUGGAAAUUUACAAGGUGGACAUGAGGUGGGACAAAACCUUGACCAAUAAGAUUACAAGUACAGUCACCCAGGUAAUAUUGAUUAAAUGGGCUAAAAUGGGGGAGCAAGUCAUGUAACAAAUGUACAAGGAUUUUUAGUAAGGGUGGGGGUCAGGGAUGUUUCCUGGAAAGGCUGGGUUAAGACCUUGGCCCCCCACCCAGGUGAUUGAUACCUCUUUAGAAUAUCAAUCACUGCUAUUCAUCCCACAUGUUUUUUUUUUUUCAAAGUUGUAGGUCUUUCAUGCCAUAGUAGUCUUCCUUAAUAUUUACAAUACAUUCACCAAGAUAAUCAGAUAUGACCCAGGAGCUUCACUUUCUGCCAAAAUUGUUUUAGCCAUUGUAGAGCUUCCUCAAAAUAGAGGCCC
This 1352-nucleotide long non-coding RNA is filed under the name Heterocephalus glaber (naked mole-rat). RNAcentral's name for it is "lncRNA (ENSHGLG00100048139.1)". Lineage: Eukaryota; Metazoa; Chordata; Mammalia; Rodentia; Bathyergidae. The record is from RNAcentral.